Molecule: ribosomal RNA, 447 nt
Filed under: uncultured bacterium
Lineage: Bacteria
Description: bacterial SSU rRNA
Rfam family: Bacterial small subunit ribosomal RNA
Source: RNAcentral
UGGGGAAUAUUGGACAAUGGGCGAAAGCCUGAUCCAGCCAUGCCGCGUGAGUGACGAAGGCCUUAGGGUUGUAAAGCUCUUUUGGCGGGGAAGAUAAUGACGGUACCCGCAGAAUAAGCUCCGGCUAACUUCGUGCCAGCAGCCGCGGUAAUACGAAGGGAGCUAGCGUUGUUCGGAAUCACUGGGCGUAAAGCGCACGUAGGCGGAUUGUUUAGUCAGGGGUGAAAUCCCGGGGCUCAACCUCGGAACUGCCUUUGAUACUGGCAAUCUCGAGUCCGAUAGAGGUGGGUGGAAUUCCUAGUGUAGAGGUGAAAUUCGUAGAUAUUGGGAAGAACACCAGUGGCGAAGGCGGCUAACUGGUCCGGUACUGACGCUGAGGUGCGAAAGCGUGGGGAGCAAACAGGAUUAGAUACCCCUGUAGUCCCUGAGCGGGCUGGCAAGGCGCAU